RNAcentral lists this non-coding RNA (90 nucleotides) under Rhodococcoides fascians. RNAcentral's name for it is "Rhodococcus fascians TPP sequence". It matches the Rfam family "TPP riboswitch aptamer (THI element)". From Rfam's summary of the family: Vitamin B(1) in its active form thiamin pyrophosphate (TPP) is an essential coenzyme that is synthesised by coupling of pyrimidine and thiazole moieties in bacteria. The previously detected thiamin-regulatory element, thi box was extended, resulting in a new, highly conserved RNA secondary structure, the THI element, which is widely distributed in eubacteria and also occurs in some archaea. RNAcentral also lists the same sequence under 1 other name. The record is from RNAcentral. Lineage: Bacteria; Bacillati; Actinomycetota; Actinomycetes; Mycobacteriales; Nocardiaceae.
CUCUUCGACACGGGGUGCCUAACGGCUGAGAACACACCCGUCGAACCUGAUCUGGUCAACACCAGCGUAGGGAUGUCUGCACGUGGGACA